CCGUUUUUGCACACGGCCGUGUGCGGAAACGGCUGUUUGCCUCUGAGCUCCCCGCAUCGUUCAGAACUCCCUUGCUGCACGAAGUGAUUUUUAGAAGAACGGCUACAGGAACGACUCUACGCAUGCUGAAAUCCAACUUACCGAGUCCUCACUCACUCGACACAUGAAAAGGAGACAGACCUACCGCAACCAUAUGCUACAGAUAGUCAGCCAAUUCGACCAACCUCUACCGAAUAGGAAGCUCCGAAAACCUUGGAGGUCAUGAACUUGGCCAAUGGACCCCGUUUAUGACCUGCUGUCAACCCUAAAAGUGAAUGGCACUUUUUCUUUCUGCACCAAGUACACUCCAAAACUCCUCAAGACGCGUUUAGUGGAAGAACAGUAUUCUUAUUCCAUCAUGCU
This is a long non-coding RNA of Hyla sarda, 402 nucleotides long. RefSeq lists it as uncharacterized. The transcript is spliced from 3 exons. The record is from RefSeq and is a predicted model, not a curated record. NCBI's taxonomy places the organism in Eukaryota, Metazoa, Chordata, Amphibia, Anura, Hylidae.